GAUGAACGCUGGCGGCGUGCCUAAUACAUGCAAGUCGAGCGAACGGACGAGAAGCUUGCUUCUCUGAUGUUAGCGGCGGACGGGUGAGUAACACGUGGAUAACCUACCUAUAAGACUGGGAUAACUUCGGGAAACCGGAGCUAAUACCGGAUAAUAUUUUGAACCGCAUGGUUCAAAAGUGAAAGACGGUCUUGCUGUCACUUAUAGAUGGAUCCGCGCUGCAUUAGCUAGUUGGUAAGGUAACGGCUUACCAAGGCAACGAUGCAUAGCCGAACUGAGAGGGUGAUCGGCAACACUGGAACUGAGACAAGGUCCAGACUCCUACGGGAGGCAGCAGUAGGGAAUCUUCCGCAAUGGGCGAAAGCCUGACGGAGCAACGGCGCGUGAGUGAUGAAGGUCUUCGGAUCGUAAAACUCUGUUAUUAGGGAAGAACAUAUGUGUAAGUAACUGUGCACAUCUUGACGGUACCUAAUCAGAAAGCCACGGCUAACUACGUG
RNAcentral lists this ribosomal RNA (497 nucleotides) under uncultured bacterium. RNAcentral's name for it is "partial 16S ribosomal RNA". It matches the Rfam family "Bacterial small subunit ribosomal RNA", at positions 28 to 507 of the family's 1533-position model. The record is from RNAcentral.